AGCCCCGUGGUGUAGUGGUCAAGCAUCGGGGACUCUGGCGAAGCCCCUUUAAAAAGGUGCUUUAUCCCCAAAGGGCUUCGGAGAGAUCCCUGGACGGAGGUUCGAAUCCUCCCGGGGCUG
This 120-nucleotide transfer RNA is filed under the name Aciduliprofundum boonei T469. It matches the Rfam family "tRNA". Rfam says of the family: Transfer RNA (tRNA) molecules are approximately 80 nucleotides in length. Lineage: Archaea; Methanobacteriati; Thermoplasmatota. The record is from Rfam by way of RNAcentral.